GACGAACGCUGGCGGCGUGCUUAACACAUGCAAGUCGAACGGAAAGGCCCUGCUUUUGUGGGGUGCUCGAGUGGCGAACGGGUGAGUAACACGUGAGUAACCUGCCCUUGACUUUGGGAUAACUUCAGGAAACUGGGGCUAAUACCGGAUAGGAGCUCCUGCUGCAUGGUGGGGGUUGGAAAGUUUCGGCGGUUGGGGAUGGACUCGCGGCUUAUCAGCUUGUUGGUGGGGUAGUGGCUUACCAAGGCUUUGACGGGUAGCCGGCCUGAGAGGGUGACCGGCGACAUUGGGACUGAGAUACGGCCCAGACUCCUACGGGAGGCAGCAGUGGGGAAUAUUGCACAAUGGGCGGAAGCCUGAUGCAGCAACGCCGCGUGCGGGAUGACGGCCUUGGGGUUGUAAACCGCUUUCGCCUGUGACGAAGCGUGAGUGACGGUAAUGGGUAAAGAAGCACCGGCUAACUACGUG
This 468-nucleotide ribosomal RNA is filed under the name uncultured bacterium. Its description in RNAcentral is "partial 16S ribosomal RNA". It matches the Rfam family "Bacterial small subunit ribosomal RNA", at positions 28 to 507 of the family's 1533-position model. The record is from RNAcentral.